Molecule: RNA transcript, 6826 nt
Organism: Strigops habroptila (Kakapo)
Lineage: Eukaryota; Metazoa; Chordata; Aves; Psittaciformes; Psittacidae
Gene: GTF2H1
Gene name: general transcription factor IIH subunit 1
Exons: 16
Source: RefSeq, a predicted model, not a curated record
GCACUUCGCAGCUCCCCCUUACCCUGGGCUGUAUUCCACUGGCAGGCCCGGUGCUGCCCUUCGGGGUGCUGCUCUGCCGGCUCCCGGCCCCACCCUGGGCUGCGCGGCCAAACUGUCGGGGUUCUGCUGCGUACCUGUGCCACUGCGGUUCAGUCUGGGCCAUUAGCGUAGAUACUCUGCUGUUCCCUGCAGGGAGUGGAAACCUAGCAGCAGGGCCUGCAUCAGAUCUGUCAGAGCUCGCCUGCCAGCCUGUGUCUACCCUGACCGAGUCAGGAUUGUUACAGUGUGUAAAUGUUUCCUUUAUUUCUGAUUAGAACUCAGCAAAACCACACGGGAAGAGACUGGAGUGAAAUGCUGGUAAUGGAGAGCAUUCAGAACAGGUGUUAUAAAGAACAGAGAAGAGAGGUACCUGAUUUUAAAAGUGGUUAGAAAGAGUUGCUGCAUUAAGAGAAAGGGCAGCUGUUGGAAUUGGAUGGUAUUUCCAGAAGCUGUGUUCACUCUCACAGAGCUGGGAGGGGAGGGGUUAUAGGUGGGUGAGCAAACAGGAGGACCUUGUGGUGGUGUUUUAUGCCAAUACUGAGGCUUCCUGCUGGACUCUGCCAGUUGUAAAUGCACCCUCAAGACAGGCAUGAUGACAAGUCAUACCCCAUGGGUUAGGGCUAGAACUACUAAUCAUCACUUCAAAAGCUCUACUGCUGGAGAAUUCAAAAUCAAGCAUGUCUGAUUUUCCUAUUCUGGAAAAUACUGAAACCAGAGAAACAUCUGUCUUCCUAAAUCUGCAGCUGAAGAACUCUAAUGCUGCUGGUUUUAGCAGCAGAUUAACAUUAUACUUAAUGCCGUAAAAUAACAGAAUUUCUCUGUAUGCAUGUUGCAGUUCUUGCCCCUUUGAGCAGCAGUGUCAUCAUCUGCAGUACUGAUUCUUGGAAACUCGAGUUGUUAAAUAUAGAGGUUAGGAGAUUUGGGCAGGCACAAGUAGAUCAUUGAUGGCUCUCACCCUACUGCAUCGUAAGCCUUAAGCAUCCAAAAAGGAAAAAUUGUGUGCUGUGUGUCCUUAGCGAGGACGUGGCCUUCCCCUGUGCAGUUGGUAGGAGAUCAUCCUCAUGCUUUUCUAGCAGCUAGGUGAGAUUUCUAGUUUAGAAUUUUUCCUGUACUACUUCUAACAAGAAUCCAUUUUGUUUUCAUUAGUGAGAGACGGUAACUUUCCUCAAUUUUUUAUUCUUUCUCAUGUACUCUUCAAAAGACAGCUGGGGUUUUCUCCAUUUUGGAUAAUGCUUACUGAGCUUCUGAGUUGUAUCAUCCUACUGCCACUGUAAAUUUCUGCAUGAAAAAGGAUUCAGAGCAAUGACACAAAUAAGAACAGCAGUGAGCCAGUGUGUUCACCCUCUCAGAAGGUAGAAUGAGCUUCUCCUGGGAUAAUCCUGAGUUCGCAGAUUGCACACUGCAGGGUACUGUUCUAGAAGGCUGUGCUUGUAAAGGAGAAGUUGCUAGGUGCUGAUCGUUUUCUUCCGUAGUAGAAAGACUGGUUGUAGGUGGGUGAAAUAGCAACUUGCAUCAGAAUGAGGCUAUGGAAACACUUUACCUUUUCUUUCUGUUCAGUACAGGUUUAAUUCCCUUGCAUUCUGUGGCUUUGUCUCUACUGCAUUGGGUAAUAAUGACCUUAAAGGACUGUAAAGUAACAAAGGGAGAAAAAAGUCAAAAUCCUUACUCUUGCAUAUAUUGAGGUGUGUGUGUAUAUAUACACACGUAUAUAUAAAACAUAUAUAUUGAUUACAUGUAUAUUACAUACAUAUAUAUAUAAAAUGCUUAGUCUUGCAUAUAUUGUCUAUUAGUCUGUGGCCAGCUGCCUUUUUCCAGUAAAGAUAAGGAGCUGAUGAGAGGCUACAGACAUGCAACAGGAAACUAUAAAAUGGUAGUGUGAGUAGCACCGGAAGAGAAUAAUGCUUCUGGGGAGACUGUAAUGCAUCAUGCUAGGAAACGGUCCUGAAAUCAUGCCAUACACUUUUAUGUGAGAGAGAAGUAUUAGCAGGGCUGUUCUGAAUGUGGCACAACUUGGUCUAGUGACUGCUGCAGUAGUGCUGAUGUGCAACCCCACAUUCAGCUGAGCAUCACUGAAGUCUCUGGCAAAGGUUUGAAUGACUAAAAUGAUGAAGAAGCGAAGCUUAAGUGCAGAGCCCUUUUGUCAUUAAGUCUUUCCAUUUAAUAUUGUACUUAACUAAUUUCAGAGAUGGGUGUAUAAGGCUUUUGCUGAAGAGAAUGCUCUGCUACUGUCCAGAUUGUCACAGUAAAAUAUCCUAUCUUGCUGCCGUUGUUGCUUUUCUUUAAGAUACCUACUAGUAGUGCGAUAGCUGAUGCAGGUUGCUGAUGGAAGUUUGAUGCGGACCCCAGCAAAUGUUACAGCUCCUUAUAGCCACAAUGGCAACGUCAUCUGAAGAAGUGUUACUGAUUGUAAAGAAGGUACGUCAGAAGAAGCAGGAUGGAGCUCUCUACCUUAUGGCUGAAAGGAUAGCAUGGGCACCUGAAGGCAAAGACCGAUUCACAGUCAGCCAUAUGUAUGCAGACAUAAAAUGCCAGAAAAUCAGUCCAGAAGGUAAAGCUAAAAUUCAGCUUCAGCUAGUGUUGCAUGCAGGGGACACAACCAACUUUCACUUCUCCAAUGAAAGCACAGCAGUGAAGGAACGAGAUGCGGUAAAGGAUCUUCUUCAACAACUGUUGCCCAAGUUCAAAAGGAAAGCUAAUAAAGAACUUGAGGAGAAGAACAGAAUGCUGCAAGAAGAUCCUGUUUUGUUUCAGCUCUAUAAAGACCUUGUUGUGAGCCAAGUAAUCAGUGCUGAAGAAUUCUGGGCCAACCGUUUAAGCAUGAAUGCAGGGGAUAAUUCUGCAGCACCUAGUAAGCAGGAUGUGGGCAUCUCUGCAGCAUUUCUGGCUGAUGUACGGCCUCAAACAGAUGGCUGCAAUGGUCUGAGGUAUAAUUUGACUUCAGAUAUCAUUGAAUCCAUAUUUCGAACAUAUCCUGCAGUAAAAAUGAAAUAUGCAGAAAAUGUUCCACAUAACAUGACUGAAAAGGAAUUCUGGACACGAUUUUUUCAGUCUCAUUAUUUCCAUCGGGACAGGCUCAAUACAGGCUCAAAAGACCUCUUUGCCGAGUGUGCCAAACUGGAUGAAAAAGGGUUAAAAGCAAUGGUGUCUCAAGGAGUAAAAAACCCCCUGAUAGAUUUAACAGCUUUGGAUGAUUACACAUUAGAUGAAGAAUAUGUUGCUUCUAUGGCCUCUACAUCAAAUGCCUCAAAAUCUGCUAGAGAAAGUAGCACCACUGCCAUUAUAAAACGCUUUAAUCAUCAUAGUGCCAUGGUCCUUGCAGCUGGCCUCAGGAAACAAGAAGCACAAAAUGACCAUUACAGUGAGACCAGCAGUACGGAUGGAAACUCCAGGGAUUCAGAUUUCUUUCAGCCACCAAUUAAAAAGGUGAAACUGCAGGAGGCCAUUGAAUAUGAAGAUUUAUCAAAGAAUAAUAGCAUUAAAACUAUUGCACUAAACUUGAAGUCUGAUAGGUAUUAUCAUGGUCCAACUCCAAUUCAAUCGCAGCAAUAUGCAACCAGUCAGGAUAUAAUUAAUUCUUUUAAUAGUAUUAGGCAAGAAAUGGAAGCAUAUGUACCCAAACUAACUCAGGUCCUUUCAAGUGCUGAUGCUGCUAGCACUAUUGCAGCCCUGUCACCUGGAGGAGCACUUAUGCAGGGUGGAACACAGCAAGCCAUAAACCUGAUAAAGGAAAUUAUGGAAACAUGUAGCUGGAGUAAUACUGGGCUACAGUAGCAAACAAAAAGCAACAACCCAGUCACACCAUGAGGGUGGUGCUGGCUACACCGCUGCUGAGAGAUGGUGCCAAAUGACAUUCAGUCUGAACUAAAACACUUGUAUGUGGCAGUAGGGGAACUGCUACGACACUUCUGGUCCUGCUUUCCUGUUAACACGCCAUUCCUAGAAGAAAAGGUUGUGAAAAUGAAGAGCAACUUGGAAAGAUUUCAGGUUACAAAGCUCUGCCCAUUCCAAGACAAGAUUCGGAGACAGUAUUUAAGCACAAAUUUGGUAAGUCAUAUAGAAGAGAUGCUGCAGACGGCCUACAAUAAGUUCCAUACGUGGCAGUCCCGGCGUAUGCUGAAGAAGACGUGAAAGUGCAUGCUGUACAGGUUUGAAAGCAAAAUCUGCAAUAGGUGUAGGAGUACAACCUAGCAUAUGUGCAGAUCUUGUAGUUGUUGCAGGAAGACCUGCAAGCUGCGGACUUCUGGAAAUGAUGCUAACUGAACUUGCACAUUUUUGAAAAAGAACUGAGAUUAAACUUGAAAACUAGGGAGAAAACCAAGGAAGAACCAAAACAGAAGAGCCAAGGCGCAAAAAUAUUUAAAAGACACUGUUUACUGCAGUUACUCAGGAACUGCUUUUGAUUUGCAUAAAGAGCUGCUUUCAGAAAUAAAAAAUUUAAAGAGGGUGUAUUAAUAAAAUCCAUUUUUCUGUCUAAUUUUUUUUUUUUUAAGAAGUGUAUGGCACAGGGUAGAACUCAGAACCUUUCCUUCACUGGAUUCUGACAUUUUACUGAAUUCUGUACUUUCUGCAACAGUUUAAGAAUGAUAUUUUGAAGUACAGCUGAGACUGGUUUUGCUUCAAACAUCUGGGAGAGUGUAGCUGUCGGAAGACAAGCUUCUGCCAUGUUUCCCCACCAAUUGGAAGCAAGAGACAUUGCACUGAAAGCUGUUUGUGGUCUGGGGUCCCUGAAGGCACAUGGGGGCAAACUUUUGCCCAGAGUCUUGGAUUUUUAUGCAGAAUUUUUCCAGCCAUGGGUUUUGCAUGUUUUCCUUUGUGUGCUACUGCAGUCUUUUUUUUUCUUCUUUUUUUUUUUUUUUUAAGGUGGUACUCGUUCUGAGGAGAGAAUGCAUUUUUAAAAAUGAAGUUAAAUAAAGUUUCUUACAAAAGGCGGCAUUUAUUUUCAAUUCUUAGACAUUUUUUAUUUCUUCUCCUAAAUCUGUUUUCCUUCACUCUUCCCUUUUGACUGUUACACUAUUUUUGGCGAAUUGAUAAUCAUUGCAAAGAGAAAAAUGUGUUAUUUACCUAAUGUCCAUAGAUACUGGGCAUCUGUGCCAUACUUUAUUCCAAAUCGAAUCAGUUCACAGUUUCAGACCAACAUGUCUUGUAUUAAAUGUGACUUACUUAAAUGCAAAGUGAACCCGUUUUCUAUAAUAUAUGCAGUUUAAUGACAUCCUUGUAUUUUGUUGUCAUCUUGACUGUACUAAAGCCCAGUAUGGGCUACAGAACUUUUUUUACUUCUGACUAAAUGUGACUGUUAGAGUAUAAGAUGCAUUUACUACAAAGACAAAUCAGAGUGAGAGUAUGUAUUCAAAGCAAGCACAGCAGUGUUCAGCACGGCAGAAGAAACUUCCCUUAGCCUGCAUGAUGGCUUUAAUACUAGAUUUUGCCACCAUUGGCAUGAUGCUAAAACAUGGUAUUAUGACGUUGGGUGGAUAACUUGGAAAUUCCUACAGAAGAUGUAUUUGUAUAGCCAAGUCUGUGCUUGUUCUGUGCUGCUGCUCCAUUUAUGCAAGAGGGGUUUUUUUCAACUGGUGCGUGGAAAUCAGCAGCUUCUUUUUAACUUUUUUUUUUUUAUUAUUAUUUUUGUAUUAUGCUAAUAUUUUGGUAAAAGCUGAGUUUCAGUAAAUGUCACUGUCUGCAUCAAAGUUCUGUUUGGAAAUGUAAUGCGUAUUGUUAAGCCUAGUUUCCCUGUCUGCUUCUGCAGAUAGAUACAUGAUACCUGCUCUGUGAUGUUCAUGUGGUUCUGCUACCAGAAAUGACUGGGCUCAACGAGUUAUUUUUGACAGGGUGAAAAUGUCAUUAGGAAUAAACAGAUGUAUGUACAGCAAUUGGGGGAUGAGGUGUAUAUCUUGUCAAGAGUUACCUCUUGUGAUAAAUAAACUGUCUAAAAUUUAGGUUUAAGGUAUGGCUUUAUUAAGCCUAAUCCUUUUGUAAGUGCAGGCAGCUCCCAGAAAGAAAGGGUAGUUUUGUUCUCCCCCACUCCAAAGCGCUUGAUCUAGCAAUUCUGCAGCCAAAUUUCAACUGUUUAGUCAAAGCUGUAACACCUUUCAUCAUAUCAGAGGGCCAGGUUCAAGAAAAUACAUCUGGUUUAUAUUCUAACUGUGCCUGAAGCUAUGAACAACACAUUUGAGUAUGAGACUGCACUGAGACUUCAUUUUAAAAAAUCAUAGACAGGAGAGUUUUGAAUAUUCACCUUUUAUUUGAAUCAGUAUUUAGUGUUCCUGGAAAGACUGGGCAAGAUGGUCGACACAGUGGAAGUGUUUCAGUGCAUCACAGGAGCGUUUUACAGUUCAAAGGACUGUUUAUAAUCAUUAUGGGGGAUGGUGUUGCAAUAGCUUUAAGUUAUUAUAGCGAUAUCAGGCUAUCAAAAUGGACCUUAAUUAACAGAACUGGGGGGGCGGGGGGGGAGACGACUAUGAUACUAAAUUCAACAGUUUUGCCUACGGACUGUGCAGGCAAGGCUGCUAUGCACUUCAUAUUGCUUUUUCAGGUAUUGUGGCAAUAAGGCACAGGCCCCUCCUAAAGUGAAGGAGGUAAACUAAAUAUUCUUCUACAUUGUGUUCCCCUUUUCUGCAGCACGGUCCAAAACCCAGAUUCAUUCCUUAAGUUUUGAAACUGAAUCAUCAUGCAUUAUAUUACUAUUGGAAUCUUUAUACUGACUUGUAUUUUUAAUGAGAAUUCAUAAAACUUGUAUCAUUGGCAUUGAUCUAAGAUUUGUAGAAUAAACCCUACUGAAUUCUAAAGUGAA